GAUGAACGCUGGCGGCGUGCCUAAUACAUGCAAGUCGAGCGAACGGACGAGAAGCUUGCUUCUCUGAUGUUAGCGGCGGACGGGUGAGUAACACGUGGAUAACCUACCUAUAAGACUGGGAUAACUUCGGGAAACCGGAGCUAAUACCGGAUAAUAUUUUGAACCGCAUGGUUCAAAAGUGAAAGACGGUCUUGCUGUCACUUAUAGAUGUAUCCGCGCUGCAUUAGCUAGUUGGUAAGGUAACGGCUUACCAAGGCAACGAUGCAUAGCCGACCUGAGAGGGUGAUCGGCCACACGGGAACUGAGACACGGUCCAGACUCCUACGGGAGGCAGCAGUAGGGAAUCUUCCGAAAUGGGCGAAAGCCUGACGGAGCAACGCCGCGUGAGUGAUGAAGGUCUUCGGAUCGUAAAACUCUGUUAUUAGGGAAGAACAUAUGUGUAAGUAACUGUGCACAUCUUGACGGUGCCUAAUCAGAAAGCCACGGCUAACUACGUG
Molecule: ribosomal RNA, 497 nt
Filed under: uncultured bacterium
Lineage: Bacteria
Description: partial 16S ribosomal RNA
Rfam family: Bacterial small subunit ribosomal RNA
Source: RNAcentral